ACACCGGCAGCCCAAGUGGUGGCCAUUUUUAUUGGGCCUAAAGCGUCCGUAGCCGGUCUGAUAAGUCUCUGGUGAAAUCCCACAGCUUAACUGUGGGAAUUGCUGGAGAUACUAUCAUGACUCGAGGUCGGGAGAGGCUGGAGGUACUCCCAGGGUGGGGGUGAAAUCCUGUAAUCCUGGGAGGACCACCUGUGGCGAAGGCGUCCAGCUGGAACGAACCUGACGGUGAGGGACGAAAGCCAGGGGCGCGAACCGGAUUAGAUACCCGGGUAGUCCUGGCCGUAAACGAUGUGGACUUGGUGUUGGGAUGGCUUCGAGCUGCCCCAGUGCCGAAGGGAAGCUGUUAAGUCCACCGCCUGGGAAGUACGGCCGCAAGGCUGAAACUCAAAUGAAUUGGCGGGG
RNAcentral lists this ribosomal RNA (402 nucleotides) under uncultured bacterium. Its description in RNAcentral is "partial 16S ribosomal RNA". It matches the Rfam family "Archaeal small subunit ribosomal RNA", at positions 473 to 873 of the family's 1478-position model. The record is from RNAcentral.